UGGCGGACGGGUGAGUAACGCGUGGGUAACCUGCCCUGUACAGGGGGAUAACAGUCAGAAAUGGCUGCUAAUACCGCAUAAGCGCACAGAACCGCAUGGUUCCGUGUGAAAAACUCCGGUGGUAUAAGAUGGACCCGCGUUGGAUUAGCUAGUUGGCAGGGCAGCGGCCUACCAAGGCGACGAUCCAUAGCCGGCCUGAGAGGGUGAACGGCCACAUUGGGACUGAGACACGGCCCAGACUCCUACGGGAGGCAGCAUG
RNAcentral lists this ribosomal RNA (259 nucleotides) under uncultured bacterium. Its description in RNAcentral is "partial 16S ribosomal RNA". It matches the Rfam family "Bacterial small subunit ribosomal RNA", at positions 96 to 353 of the family's 1533-position model. The record is from RNAcentral.